Molecule: ribosomal RNA, 936 nt
Filed under: Helina lasiophthalma
Lineage: Eukaryota; Metazoa; Arthropoda; Insecta; Diptera; Muscidae
Description: eukaryotic LSU rRNA
Rfam family: Eukaryotic large subunit ribosomal RNA
Source: RNAcentral
GCACUAAGUCACUUUGUCUUUAUGGCAAAUGUGAGAUGCAGUGUAUGGAAUGUUCAAUUUCUAGUAUGAGAAAUUAACGAUUUAAGUCCUUCUUAAAUGAGGCCAUUUACCCAUAGAGGGUGCCAGGCCCGUAUAACGUUAAUGAUUACUAGAGAACAUUUCCAAAGAGUCGUGUUGCUUGAUAGUGCAGCACUAAGUGGGUGGUAAACUCCAUCUAAAACUAAAUAUAACCAUGAGACCGAUAGUAAACAAGUACCGUGAGGGAAAGUUGAAAAGAACUCUGAAUAGAGAGUUAAAUAGUACGUGAAACUGCUUAGAGGUUAAGCCCGAUGAACCUGAAUAUCCAUUAUGGAAAAUUCAUCAUUAUGAUUGUGAUAUUUUUUUAAAAUAUUAUGAUAAUGGUGUGCAUUUUUUCCAUAUAAGGACAUUGUAAUCUAUUAAUAUGCAAUUAUUUAUCAUAAGAUCGAUGACUUAAGUUUAUUCAAAUUAUUUUGCUUGCAUUUUAACAUAGAAUAAGUGUUGUCGAUUUGAUAAAGUGUUGAUAGAUUUAUUAUAUAUAGUGCUUGAAUAUUUAUAUAUUCUAUAAUAGCAUGAUAAUCAUUGAUUUUUGUGUUUAUUAUAUGCACUUAUAUGAUUAACAAUGCGAAAGAUUCAGGAUACCUUCGGGACCCGUCUUGAAACACGGACCAAGGAGUCUAACAUAUUUGCAAGUUAUUGGGAAUUAAAAACCUAAUAGCGAAAUUAACAUAACUUAUAUAAUGGGAUUAGUUUUUAGUCUUUAAAGUCUAUUAAUUCAAUCCCGGGGCGUUCUAUCAGUUAUGUAUUUUAAUAUUUAUAUUAUUUAUUCCUCUAACUAGAGCGUACCUUGAGCAUAUAUGCUGUGACCCGAAAGAUGGUGAACUAUACUUGAUCAGGUUGAAGUCAGGGGAAACCCUG